RNAcentral lists this ribosomal RNA (178 nucleotides) under Rudiloria trimaculata trimaculata. RNAcentral's name for it is "partial small subunit ribosomal RNA". Lineage: Eukaryota; Metazoa; Arthropoda; Diplopoda; Polydesmida; Xystodesmidae. The record is from RNAcentral.
UGCGAAUUACCAAUUACGGCCCAGAUGUGGAUUUUUUGAAGGUGGAUUUGCAAGUAAUUAUUUUUAUAGUAUUAAUAAAUGAAGGGUGGAAUAACAUGUGUACAUAUUGCCCGUCGCUCUCGUUAUUUUUGAGAUAAGUCGUAACAUACUUGAUGAACUGGAAAGUGUAUCUUUUUGA